ACGGCAGCACGGGAGCAAUCCUGGUGGCGAGUGGCGAACGGGUGAGUAAAGUAUCGGAACGUGCCCAGUCGUGGGGGAUAACGCAGCGAAAGUUGUGCUAAUACCGCAUACGAUCUAUGGAUGAAAGCGGGGGAUCGCAAGACCUCGCGCGAUUGGAGCGGCCGAUAUCAGAUUAGGUAGUUGGUGGGGUAAAGGCUCACCAAGCCGACGAUCUGUAGCUGGUCUGAGAGGACGACCAGCCACACUGGAACUGAGACACGGUCCAGACUCCUACGGGAGGCAGCAGUGGGGAAUUUUGGACAAUGGGCGCAAGCCUGAUCCAGCAAUGCCGCGUGCAGGAUGAAGGCCUUCGGGUUGUAAACUGCUUUUGUACGGAACGAAAAGGCUCUGGUUAAUACCUGGGGCACAUGACGGUACCGUAAGAAUAAGCACCGGCUAACUACGUGCCAGCAGCCGCGGUAAUACGUAGGGUGCGAGCGUUAAUCGGAAUUACUGGGCGUAAAGCGUGCGCAGGCGGUAAUGCAAGACAGAUGUGAAAUCCCCGGGCUUAACCUGGGAACUGCAUUUGUGACUGCAUUGCUGGAGUGCGGCAGAGGGGGAUGGAAUUCCGCGUGUAGCAGUGAAAUGCGUAGAUAUGCGGAGGAACACCGAUGGCGAAGGCAAUCCCCUGGGCCUGCACUGACGCUCAUGCACGAAAGCGUGGGGAGCAAACAGGAUUAGAUAC
RNAcentral lists this ribosomal RNA (724 nucleotides) under uncultured Variovorax sp. RNAcentral describes it as "bacterial SSU rRNA". It matches the Rfam family "Bacterial small subunit ribosomal RNA", at positions 66 to 785 of the family's 1533-position model. The record is from RNAcentral. Lineage: Bacteria; Pseudomonadati; Pseudomonadota; Betaproteobacteria; Burkholderiales; Comamonadaceae.